UGGGGAAUCUUGCGCAAUGGGCGAAAGCCUGACGCAGCAACGCCGCGUGCGGGAUGAAGGCCUUCGGGUUGUAAACCGCUUUCAGUGGGGACGAACCAAGACGGUACCCACAGAAGAAGCCCCGGCCAACUACGUGCCAGCAGCCGCGGUAACACGUAGGGGGCAAGCGUUGUCCGGAUUCAUUGGGCGUAAAGAGCUCGUAGGCGGUUCGAUAAGUCGGGUGUGAAACCUCCAGGCUCAACCUGGAGACGCCACCCGAUACUGUCGUGACUAGAGUCCAGUAGGGGAGCGUGGAAUUCCUGGUGUAGCGGUGAAAUGCGCAGAUAUCAGGAGGAACACCAGCGGCGAAGGCGGCGCUCUGGGCUGGAACUGACGCUGAGGAGCGAAAGCGUGGGGAUCAAACAGGAUUAGAUACCCUCGUAGUCCCUGAGCGGGCUGGCAAGGCGCAU
This 449-nucleotide ribosomal RNA is filed under the name uncultured bacterium. RNAcentral describes it as "bacterial SSU rRNA". It matches the Rfam family "Bacterial small subunit ribosomal RNA", at positions 355 to 825 of the family's 1533-position model. The record is from RNAcentral.